UUUAGUCAGGCAACGAGCAAGACCCGUGCCCACAGUUGCCAGCAUUCUCGCAAGAGAGAUGGGCACACUGUGGGGACCGCCGCUGCUAAAGCGGAGGAAGGAGCGGGCUACGGUAGGUCAGUAUGCCCCGAAUGGUCCGGGCUACACGCGGGCUACAAUGGUUGGGACAAUGGGCACCUACACCGAGAGGUGAUGGUAAUCUCCUAAACCCAGCCUUAGUUCGGAUUGAGGGCUGCAACUCGCCCUCAUGAAGCCGGAAUCCGUAGUAAUCGCGUAUCAAUAUCACGCGGUGAAUACGUCCCUGCUCCUUGCACA
This 315-nucleotide ribosomal RNA is filed under the name uncultured archaeon. RNAcentral describes it as "bacterial SSU rRNA". It matches the Rfam family "Archaeal small subunit ribosomal RNA", at positions 1029 to 1343 of the family's 1478-position model. The record is from RNAcentral.